Micropterus dolomieu (smallmouth bass) is the source of this 517-nucleotide long non-coding RNA. RefSeq lists it as uncharacterized. Lineage: Eukaryota; Metazoa; Chordata; Actinopteri; Centrarchiformes; Centrarchidae. The transcript is spliced from 4 exons. The record is from RefSeq and is a predicted model, not a curated record.
UCGAUGGUUCCAGCUCUGACACAACAAUCCCCUGCUCUGCCUCAAACACUUCCCUUCUGAACUUCAGCCUCGUCUGGAGAUUCAACCACAGUCGGAUCAUCCUGAACCGGACCAGGACCAGCGUCCCCUACACAGUCUCAGAGGAGUGGAGGCAGCAGGUGAAGGGUGUGUCUGAGUCAGGCAGCCUCACACUACAAGACUUGUCUUUGAAACAGGAGGGGAUAUACACCUGUGAACUCAGCGAUGACGAGGAGACAAACAUAACAAACAUCCUGCUGAGGAUACAAGGGAGUCAAACUGGUGUCACAGGUGUUAUUGUAGGUUUGGUGGUUGGAGCCAUUUUGGUUGUAGUUCUAGCAGCAGGACUUGUUGUCCUGUACUGUAAAUAUCAAAAGAGAGGAAGAAGACCAGACACAGAGCUGUGAAACCUUAUUAGGUUGUUUGCAGAAAGAUCAACGUGAAGAAACGAGUGAAGAGGGACAAAGUCAGCAUGAGGAAGAAGCUGAUUGCUGACAAG